GGAUGUACAGGUAGGUAACUCACACUGUAAUUGGACUACAGGUAGGUAACUCACACUGUAACUGGAUGUACAGGUAGGUAACUCAGAUUGGUGCUGGACCUGCGGACUGGAGAUAAUGGUUGUGCGUGAAUGGCUGAGGGUAAUGAAUACAGAUUUGUGGCUGAGUGUGUAUGUAUGAGUGGGGGUAAUGGCAGUGAGUGGAUGGCUGGGAGUCAUGAAUUUUAUUUAUUUUUUGUAGAUUUGUGAAAUCAACACCAAUUGCAGAAAAACAAGUUGCAGAUGGCAGACAAUACAGCACUAGGUAAAUGCCCAG
Molecule: non-coding RNA, 313 nt
Organism: Pelobates cultripes (western spadefoot toad)
Lineage: Eukaryota; Metazoa; Chordata; Amphibia; Anura; Pelobatidae
Source: the annotation of a GenBank genome assembly